UGGGGAAUUUUGGACAAUGGGCGAAAGCCUGAUCCAGCAAUGCCGCGUGUGUGAAGAAGGCCUUCGGGCUGUAAAGCACUUUUGUCCGGAAAGAAAUCCUUGGCUCUAAUACAGUCGGGGGAUGACGGUACCGGAAGAAUAAGCACCGGCUAACUACGUGCCAGCAGCCGCGGUAAUACGUAGGGUGCAAGCGUUAAUCGGAAUUACUGGGCGUAAAGCGUGCGCAGGCGGUUUGCUAAGACCGAUGUGAAAUCCCCGGGCUCAACCUGGGAACUGCAUUGGUGACUGGCAGGCUAGAGUAUGGCAGAGGGGGGUAGAAUUCCACGUGUAGCAGUGAAAUGCGUAGAGAUGUGGAGGAAUACCGAUGGCGAAGGCAGCCCCCUGGGCCAAUACUGACGCUCAUGCACGAAAGCGUGGGGAGCAAACAGGAUUAGAUACCCUGGUAGUCCACGCCCUAAACGAUGUCAACUAGUUGUUGGGGAUUCAUUUCCUUAGUAACGUAGCUAACGCGUGAAGUUGACCGCCUGGGGAGUACGGUCGCAAGAUUAAAACUUAAAUGAAUUGACGGGGUCAUAGCUGUUUCCU
Molecule: ribosomal RNA, 585 nt
Filed under: uncultured bacterium
Lineage: Bacteria
Description: partial 16S ribosomal RNA
Rfam family: Bacterial small subunit ribosomal RNA
Source: RNAcentral